Molecule: small nuclear RNA, 134 nt
Filed under: Salvator merianae (Argentine black and white tegu)
Lineage: Eukaryota; Metazoa; Chordata; Lepidosauria; Squamata; Teiidae
Description: U4 spliceosomal RNA (ENSSMRG00000019331.1)
Rfam family: U4 spliceosomal RNA
About the family: U4 small nuclear RNA (U4 snRNA) is a component of the major U2-dependent spliceosome. The structure of U4 snRNA from yeast and human has been reported.
Source: Rfam by way of RNAcentral
AGCUUUGCACAGUGGCAGUAUUGUAGCCAGUGAGGUUUAUCUGAGGCAUGAUUAUUGUUAAUUAAAAACGUUUCCCAGUACCCCCCCAUGACAACUUGAAAUAUAGUUGGCAAUAAUUUUUUUUUUGAAAAAAA